AACCCCUCGUUGGAUAUCCAAUGGACCAUCAAUGAAUCCUCGUUGAAUACACUAGAGAGGAUAAUAGCCACCACGUGAGGGUAAAGGCUACAGCCGUAACUAUAACGGUCCUAAGGUAGCAAAAUUCCUUGUCGAGUAAGUUCCAACCUGCAUGAAAGGCAUAACGAUUUGGGCACUAUCUCAGAGAGAGGCUCAGUGAAAUAGACAUGUCUGCUAGGGUU
This 221-nucleotide ribosomal RNA is filed under the name Buchnera aphidicola. RNAcentral describes it as "partial 23S ribosomal RNA". It matches the Rfam family "Bacterial large subunit ribosomal RNA", at positions 1879 to 2061 of the family's 2925-position model. RNAcentral also lists the same sequence under 2 other names. The record is from RNAcentral. Lineage: Bacteria; Pseudomonadati; Pseudomonadota; Gammaproteobacteria; Enterobacterales; Erwiniaceae.